Molecule: long non-coding RNA, 498 nt
Filed under: Musa acuminata (dwarf banana)
Lineage: Eukaryota; Viridiplantae; Streptophyta; Magnoliopsida; Zingiberales; Musaceae
Description: long non-coding RNA (MACU_LNC000260)
Source: RNAcentral
AGUCCUACAAGUCCUGCUUACUCUCCGACAAGUCCAUCAUAUUCGCCAACUUCUCCCAGCUACAGCCCGACCUCUCCCAGUUAUAGCCCUACAUCUCCUACUUAUAGUCCUACUUCCCCCAGUUACAGCCCAACUUCCCCCAGUUACAGUCCUACUUCGCCAAGCUACAGCCCUACUUCUCCAGUUUACAGUCCGACUUCCCCAGCCUACAGUCCAACAUCUCCUGCCUACAGCCCAACCUCACCAUCCUAUAGUCCAACAUCACCUUCCUAUAGUCCGACAUCACCUUCAUAUAGCCCAACAUCACCUUCAUAUAGCCCGACUUCACCAUCAUACAGUCCUACCUCACCUGCCUAUAGCCCAACUUCUCCGGGAUACAGUCCAACAUCUCCUAGCUAUAGUCCUACAUCCCCAAGUUAUAGCCCCACAUCUCCAAGUUACAAUCCUGCCUCAGCAAAGUACAGUCCUUCGCUUGCUUAUUCUCCAAGCAGUCCAAGG